GACACAGAGGUGACUGCUGCUCUACCGGAACAUUUGUUCCCUUGAGAACUUUCCUUUGGAGUUCUGGGUUUACGAUGCAGCGUUCUCAACACUGGACUUCCCCGAGUGGAUUGCCAUGUCUGUCUCCCAUUCAGGCAGCUUUCUGUAUUUUUAAGCCACGCCACAGUGAGCUAAUAGGCUCGGCUCCACGCGUGUCAGCCGAGGACGAGGAGGGUGAUGCAGUUUCGGCGGUCAGCUCGGUGGAUAGCGGCCACUGGCUACAUUUUCACGCUGGGUUACAGUGUGCCCAGGCAUCAGUUCACCUAACUGGACUUAGGCGGAAACCUAACUAUCUGGAGAAAAUAUGGUUCACUGAAGUCUUCUGAAGCUUUUCCUGAGCACAUCCACUUAACACAUGUGCUUCCAGCAGCCAGUCAAUAUCAGACGUAGGCUGGAGGCACACCUACAUCUGCCCGACUGAGACAAAGACCCCUCUCUUUGCACGGAGGACUUGGGAGUGCCUGACUAGAAUAGUAAGUCGGCCACACCUAUAUGACAGAUGAGUGCAAUUUUGUACGGCCCUUUAUGACUCUUUAAAUGCAUGCUGCCAGGAUGGAGCAUUAACUCCAGCCACCUUGAAAUGCCCAGCCACAGUAAUAAUGUGUGAUUUGCUACUUCAAUUAUUCUUACACGGGCACCGUAGGACAUUCUUCUCUUGAGUACUAAGCGCUGCAUUUGACGACCACUAGAUGGCAGCCUUGUGGAUUUUCAUAAACACUUUCAUUCUUCUACAGCAUUGGUAAAUGCACCAUUGUUUGUUGGAGCUCAAUAUUAAUUUUGAGACUAACUGCCUUCAUAGGAGCACUGACACGUAAUACCACAGCAGCAAGUGCUUCCUAUCAGAUAGACAAUCUCAGGCUACUGACUCAACAACAUCAACUCUUUCCAUAGGAACGCAAUUACAAUAAUCAAAAUAUUGCUGCAAAUUUUUCAAGUGAAAGUUCAAACAUUCUUCCAAGUACAUGUUCCAUGUACAACAUUCUUGAUCUUUGUUAUAUCUUAGAUUUUCUGUUAAAAUCUGCUAACUAAAUAAUUUAAAUGAAGAAUUUAUGCACUUUACUUAAUGCCAUGUUUUUAGUAAUUUAUUAACACUCAUAACAAACAGUAUUGCAUUCAUAAAGCGUUAUAAACAUGGCUAUAAAUUCAUAGGACAUUCAUAAGCAGCAUGCAAGUACACCUUAACAGGUGCACAUCCCUUAACAGCUUUAAUAACAUUACAUGAUUAUACAAUUAUAAUGUUUGUCAUUAUUAUACAAUGUUUGUUAUUAAUAUAUAUUAUAGCUGUUAAGGGCUGUUAGGAUGUUAGGCAUGCAUAUGUGAUGUUUAUUAAUUUUUUAUGAAUGCUUAAUGAAUACAUUAUGAAAGUGCACUGAACGUUUUAUGAAUGCAAUAUAAAAGCAUUAUGAAGGUGCAGGUAAUGUAAAGCGUUACCAAAUAUUUAUGCUUAUGUCCAUUGC
Brienomyrus brachyistius is the source of this 1496-nucleotide long non-coding RNA. RefSeq lists it as uncharacterized. The record is from RefSeq and is a predicted model, not a curated record. The transcript has 3 exons. NCBI's taxonomy places the organism in Eukaryota, Metazoa, Chordata, Actinopteri, Osteoglossiformes, Mormyridae.